RNAcentral lists this ribosomal RNA (149 nucleotides) under Escherichia coli O119:H4 str. 03-3458. Its description in RNAcentral is "partial 16S ribosomal RNA". It matches the Rfam family "Bacterial small subunit ribosomal RNA", at positions 1 to 141 of the family's 1533-position model. Lineage: Bacteria; Pseudomonadati; Pseudomonadota; Gammaproteobacteria; Enterobacterales; Enterobacteriaceae. The record is from RNAcentral.
UUAAAUUGAAGAGUUUGAUCAUGGCUCAGAUUGAACGCUGGCGGCAGGCCUAACACAUGCAAGUCGAACGGUAACAGGAAUCAGCUUGCUGAUUUGCUGACGAGUGGCGGACGGGUGAGUAAUGUCUGGGCAACUGCCUGAUGGAGGGG